This 244-nucleotide ribosomal RNA is filed under the name uncultured Pseudomonas sp. RNAcentral's name for it is "partial 16S ribosomal RNA". It matches the Rfam family "Bacterial small subunit ribosomal RNA", at positions 109 to 355 of the family's 1533-position model. Lineage: Bacteria; Pseudomonadati; Pseudomonadota; Gammaproteobacteria; Pseudomonadales; Pseudomonadaceae. The record is from RNAcentral.
AGUAAUGCCUAGGAAUCUGCCUGGUAGUGGGGGACGAACGUUUCGAAAGGAACGCUAAUACCGCAUACGUCCUACGGGAGAAAGCAGGGACCUUCGGGCCUUGCGCUAUCAGAUGAGCCUAGGUCGGAUUAGCUAGUUGGUGAGGUAAUGGCUCACCAAGGCGACGAUCCGUAACUGGUCUGAGAGGAUGAUCAGUCACACUGGAACUGAGACACGGUCCAGACUCCUACGGGAGGCAGCAGCC